RNAcentral lists this ribosomal RNA (253 nucleotides) under uncultured bacterium. Its description in RNAcentral is "partial 16S ribosomal RNA". It matches the Rfam family "Bacterial small subunit ribosomal RNA", at positions 524 to 776 of the family's 1533-position model. The record is from RNAcentral.
UACGGAGGAUCCAAGCGUUAUCCGGAUUCAUUGGGUUUAAAGGGUGCGUAGGCGGACUGACAAGUCAGCGGUGAAAUCUCUCGGCUCAACCGAGAAACUGCCGUUGAUACUGUUAGUCUUGAAUGCAGAUGAUGUGGGCGGAAUAUGACAUGUAGUGGUGAAAUACUUAGAUAUGUCAUAGAACACCGAUUGCGAAGGCAGCUCACAAAACUGUGAUUGACGCUGAUGCACGAAAGCGUGGGGAUCAAACAGG